Molecule: unclassified non-coding RNA, 235 nt
Filed under: plant metagenome
Description: partial contains small subunit ribosomal RNA, internal transcribed spacer 1, and 5.8S ribosomal RNA
Source: RNAcentral
UUUCCGUAGGUGAACCUGCGGAAGGACCAUUAUCGAGUUAGGGGCCUUCGGGCUCCAAACUUCCAACCCUUUGCUUACAAACUCUUGUUGCUUUGGCGGAGCGGGGAUCACUCCCCGCCGGCUUCGGUCGGUCCGUCUCCGCCAAAGGUUUUUCAAACUCAGCCUGAAAACGUGUCAGUCUGAAAAGCAAACAAAAAAUUGCGAAAAACUUUCAACAACGGAUCUCUUGGUUCUG